GGUUAAGCGACUAAGCGUACACGGUGGAUGCCCUGGCAGUCAGAGGCGAUGAAGGACGUGCUAAUCUGCGAUAAGCGUCGGUAAGGUGAUAUGAACCGUUAUAACCGGCGAUUUCCGAAUGGGGAAACCCAGUGUGUUUCGACACACUAUCAUUAACUGAAUCCAUAGGUUAAUGAGGCGAACCGGGGGAACUGAAACAUCUAAGUACCCCGAGGAAAAGAAAUCAACCGAGAUUCCCCCAGUAGCGGCGAGCGAACGGGGAGCAGCCCAGAGCCUGAAUCAGUGUGUGUGUUAGUGGAAGCGUCUGGAAAGGCGCGCGAUACAGGGUGACAGCCCCGUACACAAAAAUGCACAUACUGUGAGCUCGAUGAGUAGGGCGGGACACGUGGUAUCCUGUCUGAAUAUGGGGGGACCAUCCUCCAAGGCUAAAUACUCCUGACUGACCGAUAGUGAACCAGUACCGUGAGGGAAAGGCGAAAAGAACCCCGGCGAGGGGAGUGAAAAAGAACCUGAAACCGUGUACGUACAAGCAGUGGGAGCACGCUUCGGCGUGUGACUGCGUACCUUUUGUAUAAUGGGUCAGCGACUUAUAUUCUGUAGCAAGGUUAACCGAAUAGGGGAGCCGAAGGGAAACCGAGUCUUAACUGGGCGUUAAGUUGCAUGGUAUAGACCCGAAACCCGGUGAUCUAGCCAUGGGCAGGUUGAAGGUUGGGUAACACUAACUGGAGGACCGAACCGACUAAUGUUGAAAAAUUAGCGGAUGACUUGUGGCUGGGGGUGAAAGGCCAAUCAAACCGGGAGAUAGCUGGUUCUCCCCGAAAGCUAUUUAGGUAGCGCCUCGUGAAUUCAUCUCCGGGGGUAGAGCACUGUUUCGGCAAGGGGGUCAUCCCGACUUACCAACCCGAUGCAAACUGCGAAUACCGGAGAAUGUUAUCACGGGAGACACACGGCGGGUGCUAACGUCCGUCGUGAAGAGGGAAACAACCCAGACCGCCAGCUAAGGUCCCAAAGUCAUGGUUAAGUGGGAAACGAUGUGGGAAGGCCCAGACAGCCAGGAUGUUGGCUUAGAAGCAGCCAUCAUUUAAAGAAAGCGUAAUAGCUCACUGGUCGAGUCGGCCUGCGCGGAAGAUGUAACGGGGCUAAACCAUGCACCGAAGCUGCGGCAGCGACACUAUGUGUUGUUGGGUAGGGGAGCGUUCUGUAAGCCUGUGAAGGUGUACUGUGAGGUAUGCUGGAGGUAUCAGAAGUGCGAAUGCUGACAUAAGUAACGAUAAAGCGGGUGAAAAGCCCGCUCGCCGGAAGACCAAGGGUUCCUGUCCAACGUUAAUCGGGGCAGGGUGAGUCGACCCCUAAGGCGAGGCCGAAAGGCGUAGUCGAUGGGAAACAGGUUAAUAUUCCUGUACUUGGUGUUACUGCGAAGGGGGGACGGAGAAGGCUAUGUUGGCCGGGCGACGGUUGUCCCGGUUUAAGCGUGUAGGCUGGUUUUCCAGGCAAAUCCGGAAAAUCAAGGCUGAGGCGUGAUGACGAGGCACUACGGUGCUGAAGCAACAAAUGCCCUGCUUCCAGGAAAAGCCUCUAAGCAUCAGGUAACAUUAAAUCGUACCCCAAACCGACACAGGUGGUCAGGUAGAGAAUACCAAGGCGCUUGAGAGAACUCGGGUGAAGGAACUAGGCAAAAUGGUGCCGUAACUUCGGGAGAAGGCACGCUGAUAUGUAGGUGAAGUCCCUCGCGGAUGGAGCUGAAAUCAGUCGAAGAUACCAGCUGGCUGCAACUGUUUAUUAAAAACACAGCACUGUGCAAACACGAAAGUGGACGUAUACGGUGUGACGCCUGCCCGGUGCCGGAAGGUUAAUUGAUGGGGUUAGCGGUAACGCGAAGCUCUUGAUCGAAGCCCCGGUAAACGGCGGCCGUAACUAUAACGGUCCUAAGGUAGCGAAAUUCCUUGUCGGGUAAGUUCCGACCUGCACGAAUGGCGUAAUGAUGGCCAGGCUGUCUCCACCCGAGACUCAGUGAAAUUGAACUCGCUGUGAAGAUGCAGUGUACCCGCGGCAAGACGGAAAGACCCCGUGAACCUUUACUAUAGCUUGACACUGAACAUUGAGCCUUGAUGUGUAGGAUAGGUGGGAGGCUUUGAAGUGUGGACGCCAGUCUGCAUGGAGCCGACCUUGAAAUACCACCCUUUAAUGUUUGAUGUUCUAACGUUGACCCGUGAUCCGGGUUGCGGACAGUGUCUGGUGGGUAGUUUGACUGGGGCGGUCUCCUCCUAAAGAGUAACGGAGGAGCACGAAGGUUGGCUAAUCCUGGUCGGACAUCAGGAGGUUAGUGCAAUGGCAUAAGCCAGCUUGACUGCGAGCGUGACGGCGCGAGCAGGUGCGAAAGCAGGUCAUAGUGAUCCGGUGGUUCUGAAUGGAAGGGCCAUCGCUCAACGGAUAAAAGGUACUCCGGGGAUAACAGGCUGAUACCGCCCAAGAGUUCAUAUCGACGGCGGUGUUUGGCACCUCGAUGUCGGCUCAUCACAUCCUGGGGCUGAAGUAGGUCCCAAGGGUAUGGCUGUUCGCCAUUUAAAGUGGUACGCGAGCUGGGUUUAGAACGUCGUGAGACAGUUCGGUCCCUAUCUGCCGUGGGCGCUGGAGAACUGAGGGGGGCUGCUCCUAGUACGAGAGGACCGGAGUGGACGCAUCACUGGUGUUCGGGUUGUCAUGCCAAUGGCACUGCCCGGUAGCUAAAUGCGGAAGAGAUAAGUGCUGAAAGCAUCUAAGCACGAAACUUGCCCCGAGAUGAGUUCUCCCUGACUCCUUGAGAGUCCUGAAGGAACGUUGAAGACGACGACGUUGAUAGGCCGGGUGUGUAAGCGCAGCGAUGCGUUGAGCUAACCGGUACUAAUGAACCGUGAGGCUUAACCUU
RNAcentral lists this ribosomal RNA (2905 nucleotides) under Escherichia coli O145:H28. RNAcentral describes it as "23S ribosomal RNA". It matches the Rfam family "Bacterial large subunit ribosomal RNA". The record is from RNAcentral. Lineage: Bacteria; Pseudomonadati; Pseudomonadota; Gammaproteobacteria; Enterobacterales; Enterobacteriaceae.